This 560-nucleotide ribosomal RNA is filed under the name Planotetraspora sp. 343D09. RNAcentral describes it as "bacterial SSU rRNA". It matches the Rfam family "Bacterial small subunit ribosomal RNA", at positions 93 to 670 of the family's 1533-position model. Lineage: Bacteria; Bacillati; Actinomycetota; Actinomycetes; Streptosporangiales; Streptosporangiaceae. The record is from RNAcentral.
GAGCGGCGAACGGGUGAGUAACACGUGAGUAACCUGCCCCUGACUCUGGGAUAAGCCUGGGAAACUGGGUCUAAUACCGGAUAUGACAUUCUCCGGCAUCGGAUGGGUGUGGAAAGUUUUUUCGGUUGGGGAUGGGCUCGCGGCCUAUCAGCUUGUUGGUGGGGUAGUGGCCUACCAAGGCGACGACGGGUAGCCGGCCUGAGAGGGCGACCGGCCACACUGGGACUGAGACACGGCCCAGACUCCUACGGGAGGCAGCAGUGGGGAAUAUUGCGCAAUGGGCGGAAGCCUGACGCAGCGACGCCGCGUGGGGGAUGACGGCCUUCGGGUUGUAAACCUCUUUCAGCAGGGACGAAGUUGACGUGUACCUGUAGAAGAAGCGCCGGCUAACUACGUGCCAGCAGCCGCGGUAAUACGUAGGGCGCAAGCGUUGUCCGGAAUUAUUGGGCGUAAAGAGCUCGUAGGUGGCUUGUUGCGUCUGCCGUGAAAGCCCGUGGCUUAACUGCGGGUCUGCGGUGGAUACGGGCAGGCUAGAGGCUGGUAGGGGCAAGCGGAUUCCU